Molecule: long non-coding RNA, 371 nt
Filed under: Hordeum vulgare
Lineage: Eukaryota; Viridiplantae; Streptophyta; Magnoliopsida; Poales; Poaceae
Description: long non-coding RNA (HVUL_LNC012961)
Source: RNAcentral
CUUCUUCUUCUUCUUCUUCUUCUUCUUCUUCUUCUUCUUCUUCUUCUUCUUCUUCCUCUUAUUUCUAUUUCUAUUUUUCUUUAUCAUCUUCUUCUACUUAUUCUUCUUUUAUUCUUUUUUCUCUUCUUCUCCUUCUUAUUUUUUCUUCUUCUCUUCUUCUCUUGGGCCUUAUUAUGUCAUUUAGGAGAGAACUUAGCUAAGUACAGGUCAUUUUUAUUAAAUAGGCCAUUUUGGAGCUAACUAAUCUAAUUAUGUCAUUUUGUAGGAUAAUUAGCUAAGUUGUGAGCUAACCAAGGUUCUUAUGAUGUUUUUACCCUAACUAAGCUAACUAUGUCAUUUUGGAGGAUAAUUAGCUAAGUAUGUCUUUGUUG